AUUGAACGCUGGCGGAAUGCUUUACACAUGCAAGUCGAGCGGCAGCGCGGGGGCAAUCCUGGCGGCGAGCGGCGAACGGGUGAGUAACAUAUCGGAACGUACCCUGUCGUGGGGGAUAACUAUCCGAAAGGAUAGCUAAUACCGCAUACGACCUGAGGGUGAAAGCGGGGGAUCGCAAGACCUCGCGCGAUAGGAGCGGCCGAUAUCGGAUUAGCUAGUUGGUGGGGUAAAGGCUCACCAAGGCGACGAUCCGUAGCUGGUCUGAGAGGACGACCAGCCACACUGGAACUGAGACACGGUCCAGACUCCUACGGGAGGCAGCAGUGGGGAAUUUUGGACAAUGGGGGCAACCCUGAUCCAGCCAUUCCGCGUGAGUGAAGAAGGCCUGGUUGUAAGACUCUUUCGGUCAGGAACGAAACGGUAGGCGUCCUAAU
RNAcentral lists this ribosomal RNA (434 nucleotides) under uncultured bacterium. RNAcentral describes it as "bacterial SSU rRNA". It matches the Rfam family "Bacterial small subunit ribosomal RNA", at positions 29 to 466 of the family's 1533-position model. The record is from RNAcentral.